UAUGACAUGUUUUAUAAUGAAGUUGAGGUAACUCAUUUUAUCCUCGCAAAGCUUGAAGCUCUUUUUAUAACUUGAAGACAAUUAAAUGUAUUGUUUCCUGUUUGCCGUGAUAGUAUCGGACUAGUGGAGGAGUUCGCGAACUUUUUAAUGCGAUGGCGACAAAAAGUUAUGUAAAUUGUUGGCAUCUAUCAUGAACAAGUUAGAAAACUGUCAAUUUAAGCUAUAUUUUUUGGUAUUGCAUGUUACUGGAAGUUUGAAAAAGUCCGGAUCAUGUAAUCGGAC
This 282-nucleotide long non-coding RNA is filed under the name Citrus x clementina. Its description in RNAcentral is "Citrus clementina (C. clementina) long non-coding RNA (CCLE_LNC004087)". Lineage: Eukaryota; Viridiplantae; Streptophyta; Magnoliopsida; Sapindales; Rutaceae. The record is from RNAcentral.